RNAcentral lists this ribosomal RNA (700 nucleotides) under uncultured Providencia sp. RNAcentral's name for it is "bacterial SSU rRNA". It matches the Rfam family "Bacterial small subunit ribosomal RNA", at positions 801 to 1502 of the family's 1533-position model. The record is from RNAcentral. Lineage: Bacteria; Pseudomonadati; Pseudomonadota; Gammaproteobacteria; Enterobacterales; Morganellaceae.
UGCAAACGAUGUCGAUUUGGAGGUUGUUCCCUUGAGGAGUGGCUUCCGGAGCUAACGCGUUAAAUCGACCGCUGGGGAGUACGGCCGCAAGGUUAAAACUCAAAUGAAUUGACGGGGGCCCGCACAGCGGUGGAGCAUGUGGUUUAAUUCGAUGCAACGCGAAGAACCUUACCUACUCUUGACAUCCAGAGAAUUUAGCAGAGAUGCUUUAGUGCCUUCGGGAACUCUGAGACAGGUGCUGCAUGGCUGUCGUCAGCUCGUGUUGUGAAAUGUUGGGUUAAGUCCCGCAACGAGCGCAACCCUUAUCCUUUGUUGCCAGCACAUUAUGGUGGGAACUCAAAGGAGACUGCCGGUGAUAAACCGGAGGAAGGUGGGGAUGACGUCAAGUCAUCAUGGCCCUUACGAGUAGGGCUACACACGUGCUACAAUGGCGUAUACAAAGAGAAGCGACCUCGCGAGAGCAAGCGGAACUCAUAAAGUACGUCGUAGUCCGGAUUGGAGUCUGCAACUCGACUCCAUGAAGUCGGAAUCGCUAGUAAUCGUAGAUCAGAAUGCUACGGUGAAUACGUUCCCGGGCCUUGUACACACCGCCCGUCACACCAUGGGAGUGGGUUGCAAAAGAAGUAGGUAGCUUAACCUUCGGGAGGGCGCUUACCACUUUGUGAUUCAUGACUGGGGUGAAGUCGUAACAAGGUAACCA